GGCAGGAGGAGUGAUGGAGGACAGCGUGGAGGAGGAAUGGUGUCACAGUGAACCCCUCCCUGUUGCUCCCAACCCUCCAACCAUCCCCACUCCCUGUGAAAAUGUAUUCAGUGACGUAAUACAAGUAUCACAAUGCCAAAACACCAUGAAAACUACAACAAAAUAAAGGACAUUAAUCAUGGCUGCUUCUGUCUUUUGGGGGCCCCUAUUUUCUCAGACUAUAAUGGAUGGAUUCCUAACUCUUUGAGAUGAUCCACAAAGAUGCAACAAUCUAUUGCAUUAAGAUGAAAACUUAUUGUAUAUGUGUAUUGUAACACGUGUUUUUCUUCUAUAGAAAAGUCUCUGUUGUGUUCGCAUGGGUGUAAAUUGUGUAUGUCUUUUUUUUCCUACUCACUAAACAAACUGCUGUGUUGUGGAUUCAUGAUUAAUGACAAUCAUUAAACUGUAAUGUUUUAUUGA
Molecule: long non-coding RNA, 459 nt
Organism: Acanthopagrus latus (yellowfin seabream)
Lineage: Eukaryota; Metazoa; Chordata; Actinopteri; Spariformes; Sparidae
Exons: 2
Source: RefSeq, a predicted model, not a curated record